GUUGAUCAUGGCUCAGGAUGAACGCUAGCUACAGGCUUAACACAUGCAAGUCAGGGGCAGCAUGUGGUGCUUGCAACCGAUGAUGGCGACCGGCGCACGGGUGAGUAACGCGUAUCCAACCUUCCCUAUAGUAGAGGAUAGCCCGGCGAAAGUCGGAUUAAUACUCUAUGUUGUUCAAUGCAGACAUCUAAGUUGAAUCAAAGGUUCACCGCUAUAGGAUGGGGAUGCGUCUGAUUAGGUAGUCGGCGGGGUAACGGCCCACCGAGCCAUCGAUCAGUAGGGGUUCUGAGAGGAAGGUCCCCCACAUUGGAACUGAGACACGGUCCAAACUCCUACGGGAGGCAGCAGUGAGGAAUAUUGGUCAAUGGGCGAGAGCCUGAACCAGCCAAGUAAGCGUGCAGGAUGACGGCCCUAUGGGUUGUAAACUGCUUUUAUACAGGGAUAAAGUCGGGGACGUGUCCCCGUUUGUAGGUACUGUAUGAAUAAGGACCGGCUAAUUCCGUGCCAGCAGCCGC
This 515-nucleotide ribosomal RNA is filed under the name uncultured bacterium. RNAcentral's name for it is "bacterial SSU rRNA". It matches the Rfam family "Bacterial small subunit ribosomal RNA", at positions 11 to 518 of the family's 1533-position model. The record is from RNAcentral.